Molecule: unclassified non-coding RNA, 520 nt
Filed under: Quercus glauca
Lineage: Eukaryota; Viridiplantae; Streptophyta; Magnoliopsida; Fagales; Fagaceae
Description: partial contains small subunit ribosomal RNA, internal transcribed spacer 1, 5.8S ribosomal RNA, and internal transcribed spacer 2
Rfam family: 5.8S ribosomal RNA (bases 261-416)
Source: RNAcentral
AGAGGAAGGAAAUUAGUAACAAGGUUUCUGUAGGUGAACGUACAGAAGGAUCAUUGUCGAAACCUGCACAACAAAACGAGCCCCCGAACCGGUGACAAUUGACUGGGCGCUUAACCCCCUUGCGAGCGUGGACAUCGCGUCUUUUGCCUGCAAACCGAACCCUAGUGUAGAAUGCGCCAAGAAAUCAAACCAAGAGAGCCACAUUGUAGGCCUCAAACACGGUGUGCCCCUGGCAUGGGCGUCUUAUGAAUUAUCCAAACGACUCUUGGCAACGGAUAUUUAAGCUCUUGCAUCGAUGAAGAACGUAGGGAAUUGAGAUACUUGGUGUAAAUUGUAGAAUCCGGUGAAUCAUUGAAUUUUUGAAUGCAAGUUAUGCCCCAAGCCAUUCAACCAAGGGCACGUCUACCUGUAUGUCAUGCAUCAUUGCCCCCCUAAAUGCCAAUUCAGGCGGGGCAAAAGUUGGCUCCUGUGCAUGCCUGCGUGCGCAGUUAGCCCAAAAGCAAGUCUUUAGCGACAAGCG